Molecule: ribosomal RNA, 348 nt
Filed under: Triticum aestivum (bread wheat)
Lineage: Eukaryota; Viridiplantae; Streptophyta; Magnoliopsida; Poales; Poaceae
Description: partial small subunit ribosomal RNA
Source: RNAcentral
AUGAGUCCACAAUACCUUCCUAUAUGCGGUAUUUACCUACCGUUCCAAGUAAAUUUGUAUGUGCCAAACUCUAAACCUUCAAAUAAAAAUUAUGUUUUGUAUGCUCGAGUAACUCAUGUAUCAACUAGGGCUGUCUGUAUAUUCCAUGCUAGGUGGGUUAUUCUCAAGAGGAGUGGACUACGCUCCUCACUCAUGAGAAAAUGGCUUGUCACCGGGAUGCCCAGUCCCAUGCUCAAAUCAAAUCAAAAUAAUUACAAACAAAACUCCCGCAGGAUUGUUGUUAGUUGGAGGCAGCCAUUGUUUCGGGCAAGCCAUGGAUUGAUGCUUGUUGGUGGUGGGGGAGUAUAA